RNAcentral lists this transfer RNA (90 nucleotides) under Mesostigma viride. Its description in RNAcentral is "tRNA-Ser". It matches the Rfam family "tRNA". Rfam says of the family: Transfer RNA (tRNA) molecules are approximately 80 nucleotides in length. Lineage: Eukaryota; Viridiplantae; Streptophyta; Mesostigmatophyceae; Mesostigmatales; Mesostigmataceae. The record is from RNAcentral.
GGAAGUAUGGCUGAGAGGUCUAAAGCAUUGGUUUGCUAAACCAACGUAUUAUUUAUAAUAAUACCAUGGGUUCAAAUCCCAUUGCUUCCG